AGUGAACGCUGGCGGCGUGCUUAACACAUGCAAGUCGAAUGAGAACGGAUUAUAGCUUGCUAUAAUUGUCAGCUAAGUGGCGCACGGGUGAGUAAUAUAUAGAUAACCUGCCCUCUAGAAAGGAAUAACAGUUGGAAACGACUGCUAAUGCCCUAUAUGCCUUUAAUACAUAAGUAUGCAAGGGAAACGCUUUAGUGCUAGAGGAUGGGUCUGUAUGGUAUCAGCUUGUUGGUGAGGUAAUGGCUCACCAAGGCUAUGACGCCUAACUGGUUUGAGAGGAUGAUCAGUCACACUGGAACUGAGACACGGUCCAGACUCCUACGGGAGCAGCAGUGGGAAUAUUGCACAAUGGACGAAAGUCUGAUGCAGCAACGCCGCGUGGAGGAUGACACAUUUCGGUGCGUAAACUCCUUUUAUAUAGGAAGAUAAUGACGUGUACCUGAAGAAUAAGCAUCGG
RNAcentral lists this ribosomal RNA (457 nucleotides) under uncultured bacterium. RNAcentral describes it as "bacterial SSU rRNA". It matches the Rfam family "Bacterial small subunit ribosomal RNA", at positions 29 to 496 of the family's 1533-position model. The record is from RNAcentral.